AAUACGGUAGAUAUUAUUAACAGUACAUAAUCAUAGUCUAUUAACUAUGGCAUAAUGGGGAUAAAAAAGCGUAUGUUACGAGGUGUGGCCAUCGCACAGAUCACCGUCGGUGCAGUCAUGUUCAUACUAGGGUGCGUGAAUCAAAACACGUACAAGAAUCGACGGGUUUACAGAGAAGGCGACGUGCAGGACAAUACGCGAGAGAUUGCUGCAGAAUCUGCUAUUGGAAUUUGGGGCGGAAUCUGGAUGAUCGCAAGUGGAACAAUCGGUGUUAUAUGCAGCACGAGACCAAAUAAACCAAUGGUUAUUGUGAACUUUUCGCUAUCCAUUAUCGCAUCUGUCGUGGCAUUCGCCGCCCUCACGUUGUACGCCGUGGUACUGAAAGAGCGGUAUGAAGUCAAUGGCUGCCACGAUUACAAGUUCCUUAUUUCUCGAGAAAGAAAAUAUAUGGAUGACUGUCACUCUGGCCUCGCUCUGAAUGCUGUCCUCUAGAUUUGUGCCGUGCUUGAACUACUUCUCAGCCUGUGGUCUGUAGGGAUCAGUGACUUUGGAUUCAGUAAGCCUCUUGCUCCUCGAAACCAGAGACAACCAUCCAAUGCCAAUGUUAUUACCCAAGGUACCAUAGGAACUUCUGUCAGCCUCGCUCAACAGCCUUUUGUAUAUUUCACGCAUGCUGUUCCAACACAGGGUGACCGUCAGAGCAACGAACUCGCUAUAGCUUAUAUUAACCAAGGUUUCACAAGCGCAAAUCUCCCUCCCCCGUAUACGCCCUGACAGUUGGAAUAAGCAGAAAAUAGUAAAACAGGCUGCUCAAGCUCCGGAUAGUCUCAAACUCAAAACAGACACAAACUCCGGACAGACACAAUCUCCGGACAGUCUCAACCACCGGACAGUUCUCCAAACACCAGAAAGUCUCAAUCAUGGACUGUCUCAAACUCCAAACAGACACAAACUCCGGACAGUUCUCGAAACACCAGACAGUCUCAAUCAUGGACUGUCUCAGACUCUAAACAGACACAAACUCCGGACAGGUCUCCAAACGCCAGACCGUCUCAAUCACCGGACAGUUAAACACCAGACCGUCUCCAAUCACUGGACAGUUCUCCAAACACCAGACAGUCUCAAUCACCGGACAAUUUGAAACUCCGGACACUUUCAAACUGGUUGAAUCAAGAAAAAGGCGAUUGAAAUCCAAUUUUUCUUGGUCUUGUGGAUACGGCUUUGGGUCGGUGUCUCGCUGUGGUUUGAAGCUUAUAUGUCAUAUAUGUUAUUUCUAUUACUAUUUUCUUUGGUUUGUUUGUAGGGUAAUGCUUGUUUGUGUUUGUGACAAAGCUAAUAGAAUGAAAUAAAAUCACCAGAUUAAAAAGUAAAA
This is an RNA transcript of Nematostella vectensis (starlet sea anemone), 1372 nucleotides long. RefSeq lists it as uncharacterized. NCBI's taxonomy places the organism in Eukaryota, Metazoa, Cnidaria, Anthozoa, Actiniaria, Edwardsiidae. The transcript has 5 exons. The record is from RefSeq and is a predicted model, not a curated record.